Bombus terrestris (buff-tailed bumblebee) is the source of this 6432-nucleotide long non-coding RNA. RefSeq lists it as uncharacterized. The transcript is spliced from 6 exons. The record is from RefSeq and is a predicted model, not a curated record. NCBI's taxonomy places the organism in Eukaryota, Metazoa, Arthropoda, Insecta, Hymenoptera, Apidae.
UUAAAUUUAAUAAUUUCAGACUGUUCAUGAUCACACAUGCGUGCGCAGCUCGCAGCACGCAGCACGCUAAGCGUAAAAUCCGCUACGUUCAUUUGAAGGCGAACACGAAGGUAGCAUAAUUGAUAAACUAAUUCGAGAGCAGUCGAGGUACGUUUGAUUUCGCAAACGAUGUAGAGGGAGGUAGACUUUCGUAAGUGAUGUAAGGGACUUACCUAAUUGGUUAAUGGUCGAUUAAAUGACAAAUUCCUAACACGAAAGUGACAUAUCGAUAGGUUAGCCGAGCGAUUAGACAGUUCUAGCGAAGCGUCCUCCGCGUCGUCAAGGAAACCAGAUUACGUUAAAGCUACCGUAUCACGUACUGUUAACCAACCUCUGGGCCUCGUUGACGAUUGUCUGUCACGGAAGUCUCUUUAACACGUGCCCCUAAAGCGGCGCUGCUUACGCGGCAAUGCACGAUUCUCAGUAUACAUGAAUUUCACGAAACGGCUAUCAGUUUUAAGUAACCUACGGCAAAAUAUAUUGCGAUACGUGUAUCGAUCUUUAGAUUUCACGAGACAGCGUAGUUCGCGUUUUGAUGCGCUAACGUCGGGACAUAGAAUCUUUAGGAAUAUACGAGAUAUCUUGCAACGUUGGUGUUGUUACGAAUAACGACAGAUAAAUGAAUUAUGAAAAAAGAGUCACAGGACUUUGCUUACCGAUUAGAUCUGUGUUAAGUGAUUCGUGCGGAAACCUCAACUUCCUCAUCGCCCAGAUCACCUAUUCUGCACGAGAGAUGAUUCGCCAGCAAGGUAAUCAGAAAUGCAGGUAUAACAUGACUUUUAUGUUGACGAAGAUGAAAAUCGUCGUUAAGCGUUCGAUGCUGCUUGGACGUCGCCAUAUUGUUUCUCAAUAUUCGGCGCCAAUUUUAGAAAACGAUAAGGAUACAUCACUGUUGCGCGGACGAAGGAGUAUAAGUCAGAAUUAUGGUAUUAGUUUUGCGGAGGAGCGCUUACAAUAUCCUAGAUGCGAUAUAGAAUUAGACGUAGGUGGUUAUGGUUAGGUGCAUUGAAAAUAUUCUUCAUAGAAAUGAGGCGAAGAAGGAUAAAGUAAAAGGAAAUUUCAUGGCAUUUUGAAGUUAAGAAAAUAAAAUUUAUCGAACUGAAGAAUAUCGAUGUCUAUGAAGAGAAAUUAAAAAAGCUAAACUUAAAUUAAAGAUAAUCAUUAAACGUUAAUGAAAAAGCACAGAAUUAUGGUAGAAUUAUCGUAGUAGUAGGAAAAGUAGUGGACAACUCUCUGCAGUUUACACGAAAAAAAAAAAAUGAUGCAACCGUUUGCGUGCUGCGUCUUUCGAUGUAUCCAACUCGUCAUGUUAAAUCGCUUGAAAAAAUUGGAAACUAAUUCGAGAAUUAUUUAUCAAAUACAAUCGUGGCUCACGAAAGCGUUCGAAUUCUAUUAGAAAGUUUAUGUGUAUAUUACAAUUCAAAAUAUUUUCUAAUCUCAUUAGUAACGAGAUACAACUAUCGCGAUUAUGUUGCUAAAAUUGAGAAUGUAUAUAGAAGUUAGAAGAUCAUUAUAGAGAGUAAGAAGAUAUAAGCAGGAGUCAUUUAUCCACUGUUAACUAAGCUAGAAUACGUGACGAAACCGUCUUUAGCACUAAUUGCAUGUUUAAGACCGCUAUUCACUAAUUUUUUAUUCAGCGUAUGAUUGCAAUAAAUGUCUUCUAGCUUAAAUAUAUCUACGAAUUGGUUUCAAAUUUCACUAUUAUAAUACGAUAGUCGUGUCUCAUUACGGUGCUAACGAAGUUUCGAAAAGUUUCACGUAACGUGUCUAAUAUAUUAAAAAAAAAAAAAGAAAAAUUAUAUUCUGAAAUAAUGCGAAGAAAAUGGCAAAAACGUAAAAGAAAUUCCGUGCCAAGCGUUCGGAUACUUUCGUGAACUACUGUGUAUUCUAGACACGUGACAAUAUUAAACGAUUGAAACAAAAAUGAACACAUGCAUCGUCAGCAAGGCAUCGAUUAACUUUUGACUCGUACGAUGGAGGAAGAAGUGCCGAAGAAUUAUACUCAUCGAUGAAAAAUAUUUUCAAUCUAGAUGAUUUAGAUGGCUUCGAUUAUUACGAUGUAUCAGUGCAUAGCAAAAGAAAGAUUACGAAAGCGCGGCGUGAAAUGGCUGCGGGGAUUACAAUGCUUUGAGCAGGUAUGCGUUACGAUUGAAAGACUGAUAUUCAUCCUGAAUUGUACGAGAUAGCAAUCAUGAAAAGAGCUAGUGCAGCUAUAAACGAGACUGCCUAUGUACUUUAGACACAGAGAUUCGAACGCAAUUAAAGAAUUGGAAGAAAAGAGGUUCGCGAUUGGUAUCAAAAUGAAUCUCGUGGAAAACGAGAAACUUGCGAGUGCUGCACCGAAAGGAACGUGUCACGAACACCUUCUUCAAGAGAAUAAAAAAAGCAAGACUCGACCGAUUGUGGAUCUUAAGUACCGUUUUCAGCGAAGCAGCAACGAGAAACAUUUUGUUGGUGUUCCGUGUUUCUUGAAAAGGUCGCCGUUUGUUGUCGAGCGUUUCUCCAAGUUUUUUCUUGUUUCCGUUACCGGCAACAAAUGUCGUCGCUUGCUUCCUGUUCCCAUUGGGAAUGGUAAAGAUCAAAGAAAAAUAGGCAACGAAAACAAAUGUCCAUUCAGUGUAUACACGUUACUGGCGACGAAUAGCCUGAAACCUAAUACAAAAUUCAAAUGUUCCUUAGAUUACGUUGCCUCGGUGUGGACAAAACGUGUCUAUAAGCUGCUAUUCGUUGGAAAUGCCUUGGAACAUGUAGCGAAAAGGCGUUGUUCGACGUUGCAUCCGGAGGGGGGCAGUAGAACGUUAUUCACACAUGGUAGAACAGAAAAAUAGAUCGUUGCUUGAAAUGGCACGCCGCGUGCUGAUUGUCGCAAAUCUCGAGAAGAAAUAUUGGUGCAAAGCCAUAAAUACAGUAACUUGCUUAUAGAAUAAACUACGGAAGAUAAGAGAUAACGUGCCUAAAAGAGGACACGCUUGACCAUGGUAGAUAAAAUGGAUAUGAAUGUGAAGCAUUUCGAUGCGAAUACAGCGAUUUAGCAUAUACAUAUACAUCGUAUACAUAUUCAGUGAAUGCUGCAAUAGAGAAUUGAAGGAGAUAAUAUGUAUACAUAACGCAACCCGAGGGCUACGCUGUCUCAAGUAAAUGUGGUUACGUAUGCAAAUUGAAAAAGGGCAUCUGCGGAUUAAACAAGCGGCAACGUUAUGAAACGACAGAUGUAGGAUCCUGGUUUUAAGAAAUACGUUUAUCUUACAUUUUACUAAGGAUAUAUUUACGUUACAUAUAUUUACGGUGUUGCGAUUAAUUUUAAGUUCAAACAUAUUUCCGGCAUCGUUUUUUUGAUAUUUCCAAGAAAGUGAAAAACGAAUUUGUUUACGUAAUGCGUCAAAUGUAUACUGCUACAUGUAUGUAUGUAAAUGCUAUAGGAUUACACGGCGAGUUAUUGAACUUUCGUAACUGAAGUAGAAAAAACAAAAAGCCAAGUUUUCAACAAGACAACGUUUUUAUUCGUAUAGCCGUCUCUGCGGAAAAGUGGUUCGUUUUUGGAAUAGAAUUAUUAUCGUGGUCAGCAUCGAGUGCUGAUCUGAAACCGAUCGAGAAUCUGUGGGGAAUUGUAGCAAUAAAAGUUGACGAUCAGGAGAAGCCAACUAUAGAAAAUAUCAAAUUGAACUGAAAAAAUGAGUAAAAUCCAAAGGUCAGACGGAUAUCUCAAGCGAAUAAAUUAGUGAACAGUGUUCCCAACAGGUUGAUGGAAGUAAUCGAAAGUAAAGAAAAAUCCGCUAAAUAUUGAAGGAAACGGUAACAAAGUUAGCAUUGAGUUCAUACUUUUCCACAGCCAGAACUUAUUUGCUUACUAAAUCUUGUGUACUCAGGGAGAAAAAGCAAAUUCGCAGUUUGUUUACACGAGUUUCAAAUGAUUCAAAGUGCAGCCGAAGAACGCUAUAAUUUUGGUUUCAAAGAUUUCGAAAUGGCGAUGAAAGACUCGAAGAGAAAGGGGAUCGUAUCAUCCCGAAAACUCUAGAUUUCUAUGAUCAUGAAAUACAAAAAGGGAUGGAUAUUACGUACAAGGAGAUCAACGAAAUCUAAUUAUAAGCGUUAUUGCGUAUUAAUAAUUGAACGAAACAUUCAUCCACGCGCUGGGAAUGAUAUUUCUAUAAUCAAGUUCAAUUCUCGUAAUUCCAAGUGCUAUAUUCGUUUCAAUCAAGUAUCAUUGACGCUAGCCGUUUGGACACAAAGAGGACAGUAGCAAGGCCUAAUUUCGCGAACCUGGAAAACGUCGAAGUCGAGGACUUUCAGGCCUCCCACGUAACGAGAUAAAUUGCCCUUGGACCCGUAGCGAACAUAGACGAUAACGCCUUAAAAAGGAACUGCUUCUCAGCCUCGCAAGUUCGCUUGAGGAGCCAAUCAACUACGAACUUCCAAAGCAAACACAUAGUCUGCCGCGAUAGUUCAAUGGAGUCACACGAAUUAUAGAAAUGAAAAGGAAUUCGAUCAAAUUUCUCUAUGUAAGUUGUCCUUAUUGCCUACGACAUAAAAAGCGUACAUCGUUGACAAUCAAGCUGAAGCGUAUGAUACGUUGAAUUCGAAAUUUCUCUGUGCUGAGCGAUGUGCGACGUGUAUCACGUAUGUAUACAAGGUUUCCGCGAAUUUCUCUAAUGUUUCGUUCACGCAAGCUGUUAGUUUCGCUUAAUCGCGACCAUGAGAUACAGGAACAAGGAAUACCUCGAGAUAAUCAAGACUUCGAAUGCCUAUAGCAGUAAUUUAUUCGCUGCUGUUCGCUAUUACGGAGAACGCUAUGCCAACCAACGUGUUCUUGAUGUCAGAAACGCUCUCUUUUAGAAAAUGCAUCCUUUGAAUCUCGAUAUCGACAUUGUAGUCGUGCGCGCGGACGUGCCAUCGAAGAUGAUGCUCUAGAUUCUAGAAGAUUCAUAUUCAUAACAAUCCUUGACUAACACCAUCGAUGAGACGAGAUUCUGCAAGAGUGUUCGUUAGACUCAACUAAGGAAUUUAGCCGUAAUUCGUUCGUGCUUUAAGGGAGAAAUCAACCCUCUCGUCCGAGUUGGCUUUCUAUGUAAAUGUUUAUAGAUCGUAAACGACAAAAGAUAUGAAAAAGUAAUUCAAAUUAAAGUUAUAUUGUGUUUUGAUACCUAUUAAUUUGCGCGAAAAAUUUAUUUAAAAAAUCAUUUCUUUGAGAAAUUUAAUUGCUUGCCCGCUUUCCUUACAGAAAUUUUAAUCUUCUUCGAAUCCAAUAGUGUAUCACAGUACAUAAUUAUUGUAAUUAUUUCUUCCAGAAUCGUUACUUUAAGUUUCGUAUAUUACCUGUGCUGGCUGUUAAUUCAGCAUGUAGUUGCGAGGCUGAUAACUUUUGCGAUAACGAUCGUUUCUCCAUACGUUUUACAUGAAAUAACCAUAAGAUUAAUUUCAUCGUAACGCGUCGGGAUAUUAAUCGAUGGAUGAUAACACAUUGUGCACACAAAUCUUUUAACGAAGUUUGUCAUGCUGAAACAAUAAAAAUGCAAAUCUAUUUAAGACCUAUAAAUAUACAGGACCGAAGGGAAUAAUUUGCUUUCAUUUAAUAAUUGACAAAAGAUAAGUAAAAUCAAACUGCGGAUAGUACAAUAUUACAAAAUCCAAUGCUUCAGUAUUGACCAAGUUAUAUUUUUUGAUAUUCAAGAAUGUGUUUCACAUUUAUACCUACUAAAUAGCAGUAAUUCUGCGUUCGAACAUAUUUUGGGUUGGAUAGCACUGUUCUGUGUUUUAAGGUUCAUUCAUCUAACACGGUUCAUUGUUCAGGAUUGUCUAUUCUUUGUUCGCUCUUCAUCGCAUACAAAUUGUUGAAGACUAACUCGCCGGAUAGUCGGUCGUGCGAAGAUCAGGCGGCCGUGUGACGAACUAUGGAUCCCGAAGAGGAACAAAUCUACGGAACAUGCAUCUAGCAUCGUUUAGCGGGAAAAUUACGGACAUGCCACAUGUAUCACGUCGAAUGAAGCAUUGCGAUUGAAGUUGAGAUUUUUCAUGCACCAAAGACGUUAAUGCGCCUAUGCACCUUUUAAGUGACAAAUAAGUCAUUCUUACAUAAUCUUUGGAGAAAAAGCAAAGAGGUACAGAAGAAAAGCUUCUUUUAUAUUUUCUAAGCAGUGGAGCAUACUAAGUGAUUGAGUAUUCUUUUAAAAGCAGUUCUUCUUAAGUUUUUAUUAACUUUAUAGAGAAGGGAUUUUAACCAAAGUUUACACGCACUAUGUUUCACUUAGAAAAAAUUCACAAUAGCUUUAUUGUUGUUGGUAGCCUGUGGAUAUUUAUGUUACUGAAAUGUGUAAAAAAAUAUGUUAAUAUAAUACGUAAGAUAUAUUGGAAAUCAUAUUAUUUGAACAUGGUAAUAAAAAAUACGAAUUUAAAUUA